GAUGAAGAACGCAGCGAAAUGCGAUACUUGGUGUGAAUUGCAGAAUCCCGUGAACCAUCGAGUCUUUGAACGCAAGUUGUGCCCGAAGCCACUAGGCCGAGGGCACGCCUGCCUGGGUAUCACACGUCGUUGCCCCCCCCCCAUCUACUCCUUCGGGAUUGCGGGGGGCGGAUGAUGGCCUCCCGUGCGCCUAGCCGCGCGGUUGGCAUAAAUACCAAGUCCUCGGCGACGCACGCCACGACAAUCGGUGGUUGCGAAACCUCGGUUGCCCGUCGUGUGCGUUCGUCGCGCAUCGAGGGCUCGAAAAAAUGCUCGGCUCCGGCUCGGCUUUCAACGCGACCCCAGGUCAGGCGGGGUUACUCGCUGAAUUUAAGCAUAUCAAUAAGCGGAGGA
RNAcentral lists this unclassified non-coding RNA (393 nucleotides) under soil metagenome. RNAcentral describes it as "partial contains 5.8S ribosomal RNA, internal transcribed spacer 2, and large subunit ribosomal RNA". The stretch from base 1 to 122 matches the Rfam family "5.8S ribosomal RNA", at positions 35 to 154 of the family's 154-position model. The record is from RNAcentral.